RNAcentral lists this unclassified non-coding RNA (600 nucleotides) under Aspergillus auratus. RNAcentral's name for it is "sequence contains 18S rRNA gene, ITS1, 5.8S rRNA gene, ITS2, 28S rRNA gene". The stretch from base 229 to 382 matches the Rfam family "5.8S ribosomal RNA". Lineage: Eukaryota; Fungi; Ascomycota; Eurotiomycetes; Eurotiales; Aspergillaceae. The record is from RNAcentral.
GUAACAAGGUUUCCGUAGGUGAACCUGCGGAAGGAUCAUUACCGAGUGCUGGGCCCUCUGGGUCCAACCUCCCACCCGUGUCUAUUGUACCUUGUUGCUUCGGCGGGCCCGCCGUUUCGACGGCCGCCGGGGAGGCCUCGCGCCCCCGGGCCCGCGCCCGCCGAAGACCCCAACAUGAACGCUGUUCUGAAAGUAUGCAGUCUGAGUUUGAUUACCAUAAUCAGUUAAAACUUUCAACAACGGAUCUCUUGGUUCCGGCAUCGAUGAAGAACGCAGCGAAAUGCGAUAAGUAAUGUGAAUUGCAGAAUUCAGUGAAUCAUCGAGUCUUUGAACGCACAUUGCGCCCCCUGGUAUUCCGGGGGGCAUGCCUGUCCGAGCGUCAUUGCUGCCCUCAAGCACGGCUUGUGUGUUGGGCCCCCGUCCCCGGGGAAACUGGGGACGGGCCCGAAAGGCAGCGGCGGCACCGCGUCCGGUCCUCGAGCGUAUGGGGCUUUGUCACCCGCUCUGUAGGCCCGGCCGGCGCCAGCCGACACCCCCAACUUUAUUUUCUAAGGUUGACCUCGGAUCAGGUAGGGAUACCCGCUGAACCUAAGCAUAUCA